UACGAAGGGGGCUAGCGUUGCUCGGAAUCACUGGGCGUAAAGCGCGCGUAGGCGGGUCCUUAAGUCAGGGGUGAAAUCCCGGAGCUCAACUCCGGAACUGCCUUUGAUACUGGGGAUCUCGAGUCCGGAAGAGGUGAGUGGAACUCCGAGUGUAGAGGUGAAAUUCGUAGAUAUUCGGAAGAACACCAGUGGCGAAGGCGGCUCACUGGUCCGGUACUGACGCUGAGGUGCGAAAGCGUGGGGAGCAAACAGG
Molecule: ribosomal RNA, 253 nt
Filed under: uncultured bacterium
Lineage: Bacteria
Description: partial 16S ribosomal RNA
Rfam family: Bacterial small subunit ribosomal RNA
Source: RNAcentral